Molecule: long non-coding RNA, 2071 nt
Organism: Heterocephalus glaber (naked mole-rat)
Lineage: Eukaryota; Metazoa; Chordata; Mammalia; Rodentia; Bathyergidae
Source: Ensembl
GUGGAUUCCGUAUAACCUGGUUCAGUCUUGUUUAGACUAUUGAACAUUGUUUUAGCCUUGUGCACUGGACUCUACCUCUGUAUAGGAAAAUUUUCCUUAUUCAUUAAUUACUAUUGAUCUGUAUUAAUUGGUUAUGUUUCUUGCACUAAGGAUUUUUAAAACUACUGUAAGUGUAGGUUUUAGUUUUACCUUUGCAGAUGAAUCACUUGACUUAUAGAUAGAUCUUAGGUUCAUUUUAUUUUUCUACAUGAUGAUGAAGGCAACAUUUUUUGUUCUCUGCUUUGUUCUGUUUGCCAAAAGAAAAAACAAACAAAAAUACAAAACCAGUACAGUACUUAGUGAUAAAUCUUAGUGACUAUAAUUUGUUUGCAAAGUGAUUAAAUGCCCUACAAUUAAAACUGGAUGGCUACUUAGGAACACAUUGUCUUAGUGUAGUUUUUGAAUGCAGAGUUUUCCGUCAUUAAUUUCAAUGAAGAAAACUUCACAAUUUGUUGACUUUUUAGAUUUGACUUAAACAACAAAUAAAGUCAUUGGGACAAUAAUAGACAUCCUGAAGAAUUUUGUUUGCUUUUUUAACUGGGAGAGGGAAGGAAGUCAGAAGGUUAAAAGCAGACUGGGGAGUGAAGGGGAGAGUCUGUGAAGCUUGGAAGUGCAUGAGAGGACCCUGGGGCUCAGCCUUGCCUGGAACUGUCUGUCCCUCCAGACUGGCUUUCCGGCCUUCUUUCUCUUUCUCUUGGUCUUUGGUGGGGCCAUCUCCACCUUACGGUUUCUCUGGUUCUGGGGAUCUCACUGCUUUGCUGCAAAGCAGAAGUUUGGGAGAGAGCUGUUUUGACUUUUCCUGCUGUUUUUGGUAACUUCUCACCUGGGGCCAUAUUUUACGACCUUGAAUUUUUUAGAAAUAUUCUUGGUUCAUUAUAGGUAUUUAGUAAGUGUUAAAUAAAUACAUAGAACAGACAGUGCUUGCCUUCCUGCCGCAGUUUUGGGUUGUCAUGUUAAGAUAAAACAAGUUUUAUGAGUGCCAAGUGAACUAAUUCUUUGUAAGAGCAGUAAGAAAAAUGCAUUAGCCACGUGAGUCCUGAGUGAUUGGAACAGUAUGAGACCUACUUAGAAACUUUGCUCAGUCCAGGUGGUUGUGCAGUAGAAACCUAAUAGAGCACAUCACCUUUAUGGGAUGCUCUAUUUUACCCUAAAUCACUCUUGCCCUGAAGUACUUGAGCCAGCAUUUCAAGACUUCGGAUGGAUCUUAUAAUUAUAAACAUGGACUAUUUUCUGAAAAGCCAACCAACCAUAGGGAGCUCCUGGUUGAAAACAAGAAGGAAGUAAGAAACAUGCCCAUACUCUGAGGUAGAAAAGUAUAGUUCACUUGUGCUCCUUAUUUUAAGCUAUGUGGUCUUCAGGCCAUGUCCCACAGACAACUUCACUAAGGUAAUGAUUUGCUGUUACUGAGUGCAGGGCCUUACUAGAAAACUUGUACCCAAAAUCAGAUUGCUCCCACAGGUGCCCAGCAGGCCCAAUGGAGACGAGCAGGCACCUGAGUGCACUUGCAUUGGCAAAGCUGGUGAUCUGCACUUCAUCCUGACGUCCUCCCGGUUUUUCCUAUAAGGUUUUCUUACUAAGUUUCUGUGGUGGAAAGGUUUCUUUGUGCUGCUUUCCAUUAGAAACUCCCUUCAGGAGUUCAGUGAUCAAUGCCAAAAUCAUCUGCUUUCAUUGUUGAGUGAAAGAAUCGUUAGAGGCUGCUGACUCUACGUCGCUACAAGUCUGUGUGUUGGCUGCAAGUGUCCAGGUGAGGAUCUCGUCCUGACUGCUGUGUGUAAUUUAUAGAGCUUUAUAGAAUGAACCUGUUACAGAAAUGGACUCAAACAUGGUGUCUGAUCAAAAGGCGUUCGUAUUUUACAGGUCUCAAGACCUUCUUGUAUCCUUAGUGAUUUGGUUUGGGGUAGGGGACUUUAUUUCUUUUAAGAACUUUUGUUUAUAUAAAUAAAUUAUUUCAAAUGUGGGAUAAAAGUAUGUUAUUCCAAAAUAAAUACAUUUGGACAAAAAUAUUAAAUGUAAUGAACCUUAUGUGUAAUAA